RNAcentral lists this unclassified non-coding RNA (240 nucleotides) under soil metagenome. RNAcentral's name for it is "partial contains 5.8S ribosomal RNA, internal transcribed spacer 2, and large subunit ribosomal RNA". The record is from RNAcentral.
AACCAUUCUCACCUGCGGCUAGACCUGCGGAGGGAUCAUUACUGAAAGGAAAAAAUAAUAUAUUAUUUUUUCUUCCAUAUCCACCCUUUGUUGAUUGAAUCCAUAUCAUUUUUUCUUCCACUGGACAGGUGGUUCCUUCUAAAAAAGGGAGCUGCCCUCAGGCUUGAAAAUAUAUAUACAUAUAUUUUCUUGCCAGGGAGUGCCGGUGGUAAGACUUCAAAAUUAAAAAAAUUUGCUGAG